UACGGUAGGGUGCGAGCGUUGUCCGGAAUUAUUGGGCGUAAAGAGCUUGUAGGUGGCUCGUCGCGUCGGGAGUGAAAACCCGCGGCUUAACCGCGGGCCUGCUUUCGAUACGGGCGGGCUAGAGUUCGGCAGGGGAGACUGGAAUUCCUGGUGUAGCGGUGGAAUGCGCAGAUAUCAGGAGGAACACCGGUGGCGAAGGCGGGUCUCUGGGCCGAUACUGACACUGAGAAGCGAAAGCGUGGGGAGCGAACAGG
This 254-nucleotide ribosomal RNA is filed under the name uncultured bacterium. RNAcentral describes it as "partial 16S ribosomal RNA". It matches the Rfam family "Bacterial small subunit ribosomal RNA", at positions 524 to 776 of the family's 1533-position model. The record is from RNAcentral.